GACGAACGCUGGCGGCGUGCCUAAUACAUGCAAGUCGAACGCUUCUUUCCUCCCGAGUGCUUGCACUCAAUUGGAAAGAGGAGUGGCGGACGGGUGAGUAACACGUGUGUAACCUACCCAUCAGAGGGGGAUAACACUUGGAAAAAGGUGCUAAUACCGCAUAACAGUUUAUGCCGCAUGGCAUAAGAGUGAAAGGCGCUUUCGGGUGUCGCUGAUGGAUGGACCCGCGGUGCAUUAGCUAGUUGGUGAGGUAACGGCUCACCAAGGCCACGAUGCAUAGCCGACCUGAGAGGGUGAUCGGCCACACUGGGACUGAGACACGGCCCAGACUCCUACGGGAGGCAGCAGUAGGGAAUCUUCGGCAAUGGACGAAAGUCUGACCGAGCAACGCCGCGUGAGUGAAGAAGGUUUUCGGAUCGUAAAACUCUGUUGUUAGAGAAGAACAAGGACGUUAGUAACUGAACGUCCCCUGACGGUAUCUAACCAGAAAGCCACGGCUAACUACGUG
RNAcentral lists this ribosomal RNA (508 nucleotides) under uncultured bacterium. RNAcentral's name for it is "partial 16S ribosomal RNA". It matches the Rfam family "Bacterial small subunit ribosomal RNA", at positions 28 to 507 of the family's 1533-position model. The record is from RNAcentral.